CGGAGUGGACAGAGAGGGCCUGGGACUGCGUCCUGGGUUAUAUAUUAUAUAAAGGUGCUGGGCCAGUUUCAAGUGUCAGAACUGGUCAGACAGGUUGAGGGAGUUUCAUUCCUCACUCAGUGGAACAGAGGGAACUUUCAACUUCAUCAGGAAAUGAAAUGAUUCUUCUGGCUCCCACAGCCUCUCCAUGUCUGCAAGUUGAAUCCAGGAACUUCUAAGACCAUGACAUGAGUUACCCUGGGGCAGCAUCAGAGAAGGACCAUGGCUUGCCCCCCAUUCCCAUUGAACCGAGGCCCACUGCUGGGAGAAAGUGCGGCAAGCCACAAGGUAAGUGUUCUGGGGAGCCCAGGUCUCAGCAUUCAUCACCAAGUGCAGAUCUGUACAUGGUUUCUGCCCUUAGCCAUUGAGUCACUCACCAUCUUUGAGUCUUUCCAGCUAAGGCCUCAGUCUUGGUGGAGCAGAGACAAGCUGUCUAUUUUCUACAUUUGUGUUCCUUCCAAAUUCCAGAUCCACAAAAUCUUUAAGUAUAAGGAAAUCAUUGUUUUAAGGCACAGUGUUGUGGAGCAAUUGCCAUGUAAAAGAUACACAUGGAAUAGUAAUUCUCUCUCAAAUACAUUUAAAUUUCUCCUGCAACAAAACUUCCAAAUCACCCUACAUCAGGAAAGCCGCAUGGUCAAAGCCACAAAUUCCAAAUUUUCCAAGGUCAGAGAGCUUACACCAAGAUGGUAACUAAGUGGCAGACUAACAUCAGCCUCCUCCUCUAUCCCUAAGGCAGGUAGCACUAAUGAGUCACACAAGUCUUUCUUGAUGGACAGGAGCCAGUCUUAGAAUGCCUCUCAACAAGGCUCUCCAGCAGACCACUUCAUGGGGCUGGCACACACGCACACACUUGGAAGCCUCUUUGCCAUCCCCAGUGUUUUUUGUAAGAAUGCAGGCCGAUUUCCACAGGCUUAUCUCCAGACAGAAGGAUUUAGCUAUUGUGUAAUCAGGUGCACACAAAGGAUGUAUGGCUUUGCAGCACCUGUGUGCAAAAAUUCUGCGGUAUUAGUUUAGUCGAGGAAAACAGUGGGCAUCCUUUUAUCAUGAUUUUUGAG
This is a non-coding RNA of Oryctolagus cuniculus (rabbit), 1094 nucleotides long. The record is from RefSeq and is a predicted model, not a curated record. Lineage: Eukaryota; Metazoa; Chordata; Mammalia; Lagomorpha; Leporidae.